CCUGGCGGCCUGGCCUGCCUCCGGCUUCCCUAUCGUAGGUGCCCCACCAUGGAAGAAGAACGCUUUGCGGAGGAUGCAGUCGCGCUGGGAUCGGCCCCGGCCACCCUCGGCGAGUACCUUGCGGUCUCCCCACGCCUAUGGUCAGAGUCAGACUCUCCUAGCUCUGCUCCCUCAUGUCCUAGCUCUGCUCCAGACCGUCCUAGCGCCGGCCGCCUCGGAUGCAUCUAACACGGCCAUCCCCGACGCGGUCCAGUUCCAGCAAGAUCGGGAAGGAGGAGCUCCCUCAUGUCGUUGCUGUGCUCCAGGCCCUUAUCGUGGGGGCGGCCUCGGAUGCGCCUGAUGCGGCAAUCACCACCGCGCCUGAUGUGACCCGUUUCAAUCCCCUCUCCCUCUACUAAAUUAGCCAAACCUUUUGUUGUUCAUAGUAGUACUGACCCAGAUCAUCUCCUCACGGCGUGGCCUUGGUAAGCACCAUGAACCCCUUCUCCCCUUAAUUAAAUAUAAAUGGACGGCAUGGCUUAUUCUUCUUCUUUCAUGUAACUGUGCAGGUUUAUACUAAAGUCACCAGAACUCCCAUCGUCUAAGUCUGCGUAAUCCCAUCAACAAGUUGAUAGCUUUGGUAAAACUCCAAGUAUGUGUAUUGAUUAUUCAGAGGUUCUUUGCAGUACAAUUUCCUUUUUGGACAAAAUCCUUUGGUUAGUUUCAGAGUAGUAGCAGUUUCUGAGUAAAUUUGUUGUGUUUUGUCAAACAGUAUGUGAAUCAUGCUUCUCACCACAGGGUAGCCCACUUACUUCAUACAAAAUAGGACAUUUGCACACAACGUUUCUAUGUUUUAUCUCUUAAUAUUAGAAAAAUUGUAACAUAUUUCCGCUGCAACACGUACGAUGUUCCUGAUCUCUCCAUUCUCAAACAUCCUUUACUCUGUUGCUUUACUAUAUCAGGCAG
This 945-nucleotide long non-coding RNA is filed under the name Triticum aestivum (bread wheat). RNAcentral's name for it is "long non-coding RNA (TAES_LNC016867)". Lineage: Eukaryota; Viridiplantae; Streptophyta; Magnoliopsida; Poales; Poaceae. The record is from RNAcentral.